Molecule: long non-coding RNA, 617 nt
Organism: Aphis gossypii (cotton aphid)
Lineage: Eukaryota; Metazoa; Arthropoda; Insecta; Hemiptera; Aphididae
Exons: 4
Source: RefSeq, a predicted model, not a curated record
CUUCUCAUAACUAAGUAAUAUUUUAAGAAGAGUGGCGUCAUCAUAAUCCGUUUAUGUAUUGUUGUGUCUUUUAUACUUUCGUUCAAGAUUUCUGCGCAUUUAGCAAUUCGCCGACAACACGUCAUUUUUAAACGAAAAAUAUUUGAGGUGGCGAUCGGCUGUCGCGUUCGGGAGAUCGUUUACGUUUUAAAAAACGCGAAGUCUAAAAGUCGAUUUCGAACCAGUCAAACUCAAUCCGUUUUACGGUUAAAUCGCAGACGUGAAUAUAGAAACCUUAUGUACCAUGGUACUCGAGUCUCGAGAUCAAGUCCGUCAGUCGCAGUUCGAACACGGUGAGCUAUACUUAUCUACCCACGCAGAACCGUUCAGAGCCCCGAGCCGUUGUCACAUCUCGUAAACUUCGACAAUAACACAAUUGAUUCAUCGUCCAUUCUACAUACACAUUCUAAGGGGUACGAGUCUGGCCAACAAACCUUGAAAUGCAGUAAAAAUGUAUGUUCCGAGUGAAGCGAUGAAUGUUUGUACUUUUGCAGUAGUGAUUUUACGAGUUUUUUCGUCCGUUCUUCAUCGCCUUUUGGAGCAGUUGAAGUUUGCCCACAUACGCUGCACACUUGCCC